Long non-coding RNA from Triticum aestivum (bread wheat), 445 nucleotides. RefSeq lists it as uncharacterized. The transcript is spliced from 2 exons. NCBI's taxonomy places the organism in Eukaryota, Viridiplantae, Streptophyta, Magnoliopsida, Poales, Poaceae. The record is from RefSeq and is a predicted model, not a curated record.
CUACAAAAGAUCAUGCAGCCUAGUUGGAUGCGCAUCUAUUCUAUACCCGCUUACUUGGCUUCGAUACUAGUUAUGACUAAAGAGAUGAGGGGGCUCAAGGUGCCAAGCCUACUAUGCUUGCUACUGCUCAUACCGCUCUUGCUUCCUGGCUCUGAAGCCGACACAUGCAGUCGGUUCAGCAGGACCUAUAUUGUUAAGCCUCCCGAAUGCAACCAUGAUCCAUGUGCCAAGGCCUGCCAAAAGGAGGGAUUUACCGAAGGGGUCUGUGAAAUCAUUCGUGCCACACCUAUUUUUAUGCGUUGUCUCUGCAAGAAAGAGUGCUAAAUGAAAAACAUGCUUGUAGCUACUUCAGGAUGUAUGAUGCAAAAAGCAAUAAGUUAAUAACAUGUGUAGUAUGAUGAUAAGAAAUGGAAGAAGUUGAGACUCUAGAAAAUGUUCCUUAUUA